This 506-nucleotide ribosomal RNA is filed under the name uncultured bacterium. RNAcentral's name for it is "partial 16S ribosomal RNA". It matches the Rfam family "Bacterial small subunit ribosomal RNA", at positions 29 to 523 of the family's 1533-position model. The record is from RNAcentral.
AGUGAACGCUGGCGGUAGGCCUAACACAUGCAAGUCGAACGGCAGCACAGAGGAGCUUGCUCCUUGGGUGGCGAGUGGCGGACGGGUGAGGAAUACAUCGGAAUCUACUCUGUCGUGGGGGAUAACGUAGGGAAACUUACGCUAAUACCGCAUACGACCUACGGGUGAAAGCAGGGGACCUUCGGGCCUUGCGCGAUUGAAUGAGCCGAUGUCGGAUUAGAUAGUUGGCGGGGGAAAGGCCCACCAAGGCGACGAUCCGUAGCAGGUCUGAGAGGAUGAUCAGCCACACUGGAACUGAGACACGGUCCAGACUCCUACGGGACGCAGCAGUGGGGAAUAUUGGACAAUGGGCGCAAGCCUGAUCCAGCCAUACCGCGUGGGUGAAGGAGGCCUUCGGGUUGUAAAGCCCUUUUGUUGGGAAAGAAAUCCAGCUGGCUAAUACCCGGUUGGGAUGACGGUACCCAAAGAAUAAGCACCGGCUAACUUCGUGCCAGCCGCCGCGGUAA